CAGCAGCCGCGGGAACACAGAGGGUGCGAGCGUUAAUCGGAUUUACUGGGCGUAAAGCGUGCGUAGGCGGCUUUUUAAGUCGGAUGUGAAAUCCCUGAGCUUAACUUAGGAAUUGCAUUCGAUACUGGGAAGCUAGAGUAUGGGAGAGGAUGGUAGAAUUCCAGGUGUAGCGGUGAAAUGCGUAGAGAUCUGGAGGAAUACCGAUGGCGAAGGCAGCCAUCUGGCCUAAUACUGACGCUGAGGUACGAAAGCAUGGGGAGCAAACAGGAUUAGAGACCCCAGUAGUCCCUGUCUCUUAUAC
RNAcentral lists this ribosomal RNA (301 nucleotides) under uncultured bacterium. RNAcentral describes it as "partial 16S ribosomal RNA". It matches the Rfam family "Bacterial small subunit ribosomal RNA", at positions 509 to 807 of the family's 1533-position model. The record is from RNAcentral.